UGGAAACUGUNUGACUUGAGUGCAGAAGGGGAGAGUGGAAUUCCAUGUGUAGCGGUGAAAUGCGUAGAUAUAUGGAGGANCACCAGUGGCGAAAGCGGCUCUNUGGUCUGUCACUGACGCUGAGGCUNGAAAGCGUGGGUAGCGAACAGGAUUAGAUACCCUGGUAGUNCACGCCGUAAACGAUGAGUGCUAGGUGUUAGGCCCUUUCCGGGGCUUAGUGCCGGAGCUAACGCAAUAAGCACUCCGCCUGGGGAGUACGACCGCAAGGUUGAAACUCAAAGGAAUUGACGGGGGCCCGCACAAGCGGUGGAGCAUGUGGUUUAAUUCGAAGCAACGCGAAGAACCUUACCAGGUCUUGACAUCCCGAUGCUAUUCUUAGAGAUAGGAAGUUACUUCGGUACAUCGGAGACAGGUGGUGCAUGGUUGUCGUCAGCUCGUGUCGUGAGAUGUUGGGUUAAGUCCCGCAACGAGCGCAACCCUUAUUGUUAGUUGCCAUCAUUAAGUUGGGCACUCUAGCGAGACUGCCGGUAAUAAACCGGAGGAAGGUGGGGAUGACGUCAAAUCAUCAUGCCCCUUAUGACCUGGGCUACACACGUGCUACAAUGGUCGGUACAACGAGUUGCGAGCCGGUGACGGCAAGCUAAUCUCUGAAAGCCGAUCUCAGUUCGGAUUGGAGGCUGCAACUCGCCUCCAUGAAGUCGGAAUCGCUAGUAAUCGCGGAUCAGCACGCCGCGGUGAAUACGUUCCCGGGCCUUGUACACACCGCCCGUCACACCACGAGAGUUUGUAACACCCGAAGUCGGUGAGGUAACCUUUUAGGGGCCAGCCGCC
Molecule: ribosomal RNA, 831 nt
Filed under: uncultured bacterium
Lineage: Bacteria
Description: bacterial SSU rRNA
Rfam family: Bacterial small subunit ribosomal RNA
Source: RNAcentral